GACGAACCGUGCGAACGUUAUUCGGAAUCACUGGGCUUAAAGCGCGUGUAGGCGGAUGAGCACGUCUGUCGCUGAAAUCCCCCGGCUCAACCGGGGAACGGGCGCGGAUACGGCUUGUCUGGAGGGGCGUAGGGGGACCUGGAACUUCCGGUGGAGCGGUGAAAUGCGUUGAGAUCGGAAGGAACGCCCGUGGCGAAAGCGAGGUCCUGGACGCCUACUGACGCUGAGGAACGAAAGCUAGGGGAGCAAACAGG
Molecule: ribosomal RNA, 254 nt
Filed under: uncultured bacterium
Lineage: Bacteria
Description: partial 16S ribosomal RNA
Rfam family: Bacterial small subunit ribosomal RNA
Source: RNAcentral